GGAAUCAAGACUUCAAAAUCACCAAGAUUUCAUCUUCUUCAAUACGCUUCUGCAUCUCUAUCUCAAAUCGAUGACAAGAUUUCAUCUUCUUCCCUAAGAUUCAUCGGUUUUCAUCUCUCAAUUUAGGGUUUCGGCUAUAUAUUUCUUAUAAUCCGAAGAACACACAACCUUCAUUCGCAUCUAGGGUUUCUGUUUCUUCCAUCAUACAUCUCCUUCUCAUCAUCCCUAAAUCUCAUUCCUGAAAGAUCAUCAAUACCAAGAUCAUAGGUACGAAUCGCUCCUCACCUCUAAAGUCGGCAUCUGCUUGGUUUUGCGAUAAAGAAACCGCUCAUUUGCUCAAGAACCAAUCUUUGGAUUCUCAAUGAAGACAUUAGUUAUUCAUGAGUCCGUUAAGAAGAUGAGGCAUAAAGGUUUAUGUAACAAUAUGU
Long non-coding RNA from Helianthus annuus (common sunflower), 428 nucleotides. RefSeq lists it as uncharacterized. The record is from RefSeq and is a predicted model, not a curated record. The transcript is spliced from 3 exons. NCBI's taxonomy places the organism in Eukaryota, Viridiplantae, Streptophyta, Magnoliopsida, Asterales, Asteraceae.